RNAcentral lists this long non-coding RNA (480 nucleotides) under Pelobates cultripes (western spadefoot toad). The record is from RNAcentral. Lineage: Eukaryota; Metazoa; Chordata; Amphibia; Anura; Pelobatidae.
UAUAGAUCAUUCCCCUGCAAUUUCACUGCUCAAUUCACUGUCAUUUAGGAGUUAAAUCACUUUGUUUCUGUUUAUGCAGCCCUAGCCACACCUCCCCUGGCUAUGACUGACAGAGCCUGCAUGAAAAAAAAAACUGGUUUCACUUUCAAACAGAUGUAAUUUUCCUUAAAUAAUUGUAUCUCAAUCUCUAAAUUGAACUUUAAUCACAUACAGGAGGCUCUUGUAGGGUCUAGCAAGCUAUUAACAUAGCAGGGGAUAAGAAAAUCUUAAUUAAACAGAACUUGCAAUAAAGAAAGCUUAAAUAGGGCUCUCUUUACAGGAAGUGUUUAUGGAAGGCUGUGCAAGUCACAUGCAGGGAGGUGUGACUAGGGUUCACAAACAAAGGGAUUUAACUCCUAAAUGGCAGAGGAUUGAGCAGUGAGGCUGCAGGGGCAUGUUCUAUACACCAAAACUGCUUCAUUAAGCUAAUGUUGUUCAGGU